AAACUUGGCCUUUUUUCCUUCCUUUGGAAGAUGUCUUGGUUCAAGGAUCAAUGCUUGUGAUAAGUGGGUUGAGUGUUCUCCAAAGGAUUACUUAAGAAAAAAAAAGCAAUACUAACAUCUAAUUCAUUAACAACUAACAUUUACUUUCAAGUUAUUUACUUUAAUGCACUUUAUUUUUAAGCCCUAUUCAUUUGCCAUUAUUCAUAUCAUUCUAAUUGUUUAUGUUAGUGUCAUUUUCACUUUGUC
This 246-nucleotide long non-coding RNA is filed under the name Lathyrus oleraceus (garden pea). RNAcentral's name for it is "Pisum sativum (pea) long non-coding RNA (PSAT_LNC024454)". Lineage: Eukaryota; Viridiplantae; Streptophyta; Magnoliopsida; Fabales; Fabaceae. The record is from RNAcentral.